This 240-nucleotide unclassified non-coding RNA is filed under the name soil metagenome. RNAcentral's name for it is "partial contains 5.8S ribosomal RNA, internal transcribed spacer 2, and large subunit ribosomal RNA". The record is from RNAcentral.
AACGCACGAGACCUGCGGACCUGCGGAAGGAUCAUUACUGAGUGAGGGCCCCUCGGGGUCCAACCUCCCACCCGUGUUUAACGAACCUUUGUUGCUUCGGCGGGCCCGCCUCACGGCCGCCGGGGGGCUCCUGCCCCCGGGCCCGCGCCCGCCGAAGCCCCCCCUUGAACGCUGUCUGAAGUUUGCAGUCUGAGAAACUAGCUAAAUUAGUUAAAACUUUUAGCAACGGAUCUCUAGAUC